RNAcentral lists this small nuclear RNA (18 nucleotides) under Arabidopsis thaliana (thale cress). Its description in RNAcentral is "snRNA_13797". Lineage: Eukaryota; Viridiplantae; Streptophyta; Magnoliopsida; Brassicales; Brassicaceae. The record is from RNAcentral.
UCUGGAGAAGCGUCCUCA